RNAcentral lists this ribosomal RNA (238 nucleotides) under uncultured bacterium. RNAcentral describes it as "partial 16S ribosomal RNA". It matches the Rfam family "Bacterial small subunit ribosomal RNA", at positions 96 to 334 of the family's 1533-position model. The record is from RNAcentral.
UGGCGGACGGGUGAGUAAUGUCUGGGAAACUGCCUGAUGGAGGGGGAUAACUACUGGAAACGGUAGCUAAUACCGCAUAACGUCGCAAGACCAAAAGAGGGGGGACCUUACGGGCCUCUUGCCAUCGGAUGUGCCCAGAUGGGAUUAGCUAGUAGGUGGGGUAACGGCUCACCUAGGCGACGAUCCCUAGCUGGUCUGAGAGGAUGACCAGCCACACUGGAACUGAGACACGGUCCAG